Mustela erminea (ermine) is the source of this 365-nucleotide long non-coding RNA. RefSeq lists it as uncharacterized. The transcript has 2 exons. Lineage: Eukaryota; Metazoa; Chordata; Mammalia; Carnivora; Mustelidae. The record is from RefSeq and is a predicted model, not a curated record.
UGACAGGGUCUCUGGCUGGGCACAGAGGCCUUUUUUCAUAGGGCCUCUCCUUAGAAGCCAGCUUUCAAGGUGAGCCUAAACAUGCUGAUGCUCUUAACCCUUGGGGCUACCUACCACACCAAGAGAGAACAUACCACAAAGUGGCAGGAGAUGCUUGAACAGGAGAAACUGCACUAGGACAAGAAAAAGACUAGAAUACAAAGGAAAAUGUGCUGAAUGCCAAAGAUGAUCUGCAAGCAGAUCUUGGUAAGUUCUGUUCUUUCUCCAGAACUUUCUGCAUCCCCUUUGUAGGAGACAUUCUGGUUCUCAGCUCACUGUUUCCUGUGUUGCCUUUCAGACUGGAGGAAAUCCAUUUACCUGGCUGG